AAGCGCUGAAAGAAAAUCGUACUGUGACUGAUCUAAGAAUGGCCAUAAAUAAAAUUGGAGAUGUUGGAGCUGGUUACCUUGCAGAAUUGUUGAGGACGAAUCGCACACUGACAGAUAUCAGGCUUCGUGACAACCUAGUGACAGACAAAGGAGCAGAAGUCCUCAUGGCUGCCCUGAAAGAGAACACUACAUUAGAGUAUCUGUGGUUGUUUGACAACAAGUUUACCAAAGAUGGCGUCAAGAAACUCAAAGAAUUUGCAAAGACCAGACCAGACCUUGACAUUAAAGCUUGCAUCUGACACCACAACCAAUAAACCAGUGGAGUAGCAACUGGUUCAUGACAAACAUUUUCAUUCACACAUUUUAUUCAUACAUUAUUUUACAUAUGGUACAAUUACUCUGAUAUAUUACUUUUAAUACAUAUUAGACUGUUAAAUGAAUAGUUUACCUAAAAAUGAAAAAUUGCUGAAAAUGUACUCACCCUCAGGCCAUCCCAGAUGUAGCUUGUUUCUUCAUUUGAACAGAUUUGGAGAAAUUUAGCAUUACAUUAUUUGCUCACCAACAGAUCCUCUGCAGUGAAUGGGUGCCGUCAGAAUGUGGUAAAGAAAGUGAUUAAAACAUCACAAUAAUCCACAAGUAAUCCAAACAACUCCAAUCCAUCAAUUAACAUCUUCUGAAGCAAAAAACAGCAUGCUUGUAAGAAACAAAUCCAUCAUUACGGUGUUUUCACUAUAAACAAUUAUUCCUUUAACUACUCAGGCUACUACUGCUAAACUGGACGUUUAAGGAUGCUAUAUUUGUACAUUAAUAAGCAGCAGACCUAUUUUAGGAUUUAUAGAGUUUUUUUUAAACACUGAAUUGCAUUUAUUUAUUUUGUGCAAUAACGUUUGUAUUAUCAAAUCUUUUACAGCUUUCAGCUAACACCCACACAAUCAGAUUUGACUUAAGAUUUAAGUAUAUGAUAGACUUUGAGGGACCUAAAAUGCCUUCACAACACCCAUCUGUUUUUCUCGUACUUCUUUAUAAAUUAUUGUCUUCUUUCUCUUCUCUGCUAUAGUGUCUCAAACCAGUUCGAUGUUUAUUGCCCAUUUUUGUGGGUGCUUUUACAUGCAGAGUUCAGGGCUCCUCUUAGAUGCUUCAUAAACAGAAGUAAAAAUGUAAGUGUAAAAUACACAAAGCCAGAGUAUUCUUUGGUUAGUAAAUGCAUUUAUUUUAAAGAUACUAUGUGAAACCGUUACUAAAAUCACAGUAAUGUAAUGUUAGAAGCACUUUUAAUAGUACAUACUGGUGGAGAUCUCUAAAACCCAACUAGAUAGAUAGAUAUAUAGAUAGAUAGAUAGAUAGAUAGAUAGAUAGAUGAGCUUGACUACUUUUUGUGAAAACUUCUGAACAUGGUUUUCAUUUUUUACUGUUAUGCAUGUCAGAUCAUUUUUGGAAACAUUGCACACCUGUCUUCUUUCUGAAAGUUGCAUAAUAGAGGUUCAUGCAUUGUUAUAUCAUUAAUUGUCAUAACAUCUUGAAAUAUGAAUUGUUAUAUCAAGUAUGAUUGCUUAGCAAUGCUUACAAUGCAAAGUACAAGUGUUGUUAUUCAAUCAUUAAAACAAGAUGUACAAAUAGAUGUUCAAUAAACAUUAUAUGGAUUCUCCAGAUUCCAGUUUGCUUUGGUAAUGGAGUCUGUGGUUUG
Long non-coding RNA from Sinocyclocheilus anshuiensis, 1684 nucleotides. NCBI's taxonomy places the organism in Eukaryota, Metazoa, Chordata, Actinopteri, Cypriniformes, Cyprinidae. The record is from Ensembl.